RNAcentral lists this ribosomal RNA (496 nucleotides) under uncultured bacterium. RNAcentral describes it as "partial 16S ribosomal RNA". It matches the Rfam family "Bacterial small subunit ribosomal RNA", at positions 28 to 507 of the family's 1533-position model. The record is from RNAcentral.
GAUGAACGCUGGCGGCGUGCCUAAUACAUGCAAGUAGAACGCUGAAGGAGGAGCUUGCUCUUUCCGGAUGAGUUGCGAACGGGUGAGUAACGCGUAGGUAACCUGCCUGGUAGCGGGGGAUAACUAUUGGAAACGAUAGCUAAUACCGCAUAACAGUAGAUAUUGCAUGAUAUUUGCUUGAAAGGGGCAAUUGCUCCACUACCAGAUGGACCUGCGUUGUAUUAGCUAGUUGGUGAGGUAACGGCUCACCAAGGCGACGAUACAUAGCCGACCUGAGAGGGUGAUCGGCCACACUGGGACUGAGACACGGCCCAGACUCCUACGGGAGGCAGCAGUAGGGAAUCUUCGGCAAUGGACGGAAGUCUGACCGAGCAACGCCGCGUGAGUGAAGAAGGUUGUCGGAUCGUAAAGCUCUGUUGUAAGAGAAGAACGAGUGUGAGAGUGGAAAGUUCACACUGUGACGGUAUCUUACCAGAAAGGGACGGAUAACUACGUG